UACGGAGGGUGCAAACGUUGCUCGGAAUCAUUGGGCGUAAAGCGUGUGUAGGCGGUUUGUUAAGUCGGGUGUGAAAGCCCUGGGCUCAACCCAGGAAGUGCAUUCGAAACUAGCAGACUUGAGUACGGGAGAGGGUCGCGGAAUUCCCGGUGUAGAGGUGAAAUUCGUAGAUAUCGGGAGGAACACCAGUGGCGAAGGCGGCGACCUGGACCGAUACUGACGCUGAGGUACGAAAGCGUGGGGAGCAAACAGG
RNAcentral lists this ribosomal RNA (253 nucleotides) under uncultured bacterium. RNAcentral describes it as "partial 16S ribosomal RNA". It matches the Rfam family "Bacterial small subunit ribosomal RNA", at positions 524 to 776 of the family's 1533-position model. The record is from RNAcentral.